CAGCCGCCGCGGUAAUACGAAGGGUGCAAGCGUUACUCGGAAUUACUGGGCGUAAAGCGUGCGUAGGUGGUGGUUUAAGUCUGUUGUGAAAGCCCUGGGCUCAACCUGGGAAUUGCAGUGGAUACUGGGUCACUAGAGUGUGGUAGAGGAUAGUGGAAUUUCCGGUGUAGCAGUGAAAUGCGUAGAGAUCGGAAGGAACAUCUGUGGCGAAGGCGACUAUCUGGGCCAACACUGACACUGAGGCACGAAAGCGUGGGGAGCAAACAGGAUUAGAUACCCGAGUAGUCCCUGUCUCUUAUAC
This 301-nucleotide ribosomal RNA is filed under the name uncultured bacterium. Its description in RNAcentral is "partial 16S ribosomal RNA". It matches the Rfam family "Bacterial small subunit ribosomal RNA", at positions 509 to 807 of the family's 1533-position model. The record is from RNAcentral.